UCGUAGUCGAGAGGUAAGGACACUUGUCUCUCACCCUGGAGUCCCGGGUUCGAGCCCCAGCAGAGGAG
Molecule: non-coding RNA, 68 nt
Organism: Rhamnusium bicolor
Lineage: Eukaryota; Metazoa; Arthropoda; Insecta; Coleoptera; Cerambycidae
Source: the annotation of a GenBank genome assembly